GUGCUCGCUUCGGCAGCACACAUACCAACAUUGAAACGAUACAGAGGUUAUUAGUACUGUCCCUGGGCAAGGGUGACACACACAUAUUUUU
This 91-nucleotide small nuclear RNA is filed under the name Pteropus alecto (black flying fox). The record is from RNAcentral. Lineage: Eukaryota; Metazoa; Chordata; Mammalia; Chiroptera; Pteropodidae.